GAAAUGCGAUAAGUAAUGUGAAUUGCAGAAUUCCGUGAAUCACCGAAUCUUUGAACGCACAUUGCGCCCUCUGGCAUUCCGGGGGGCAUGCCUGUCCGAGCGUCAUUACGCACCCUCAAGCCCGGCUUGUGUGAUGGGCCCCGGCGUCUCGUUCGCGAGACGGGCCCGAAAGGCAGCGGCGGCGUCGACCCGAUGAGCCCGAGCGUAUGGGGACUUCUGUCACACGUUCGCGGUGCGGACCGGCGCCUGCUUGACUUUUCUGAUUAUCCAGGUUGACCUCGGAUCAGGUAGGGAUACCCGCUGAACUUAAGC
RNAcentral lists this unclassified non-coding RNA (312 nucleotides) under plant metagenome. RNAcentral describes it as "partial contains 5.8S ribosomal RNA, internal transcribed spacer 2, and large subunit ribosomal RNA". The stretch from base 1 to 105 matches the Rfam family "5.8S ribosomal RNA", at positions 50 to 154 of the family's 154-position model. The record is from RNAcentral.